Molecule: long non-coding RNA, 947 nt
Filed under: Brassica napus (rape)
Lineage: Eukaryota; Viridiplantae; Streptophyta; Magnoliopsida; Brassicales; Brassicaceae
Description: long non-coding RNA (BNAP_LNC008550)
Source: RNAcentral
GCUUAUUAAACCUCUCUCUAACUUGCUCUACCUUCUCUCUACCAAAGUUUCUAAAUCAAAGAAUCUCGUAGGUGACCGGUGGUCUUUCCACCGGUUACCAUCUUUUUUAUUUUGUUUUUUGUUGUGAAUACUUUCGAUCUAUGUAUCGAACUUGCUUCGCGUAGGCGAUCUUGUUUUCGUUAGGCGAUUUUGGUGUGCUAAGCUUUAAUCAAAACAGACCCGAUUUUCACUCGUAAUGUUUCUCUAUUUUGAAUUAAAGCUGAAUAAAGUUUUCAAGUUAAACUUCAUCUCUCGUAUUUCAACUUAUCUAUUCCUGUUUGUCUCUAAAAUUUUCUUCUUCUUUAUCUGGUCAUGCUUGAUCUUCAAGUUUGAAGAAAUCAAUCUUUGCUUCAUAUGGAUUUGGCAAAGUAUUCGGAUGAUUUGAAGAUUUGAGUUUUUACAAGUGAGCUUUUGGUUUGGUACAGUUUAAGAAAAGACAGAGUUUGUUCUAUAGACAAGUGUUCUGUCAAUAGCUGUGUCCUAAAUCAGAUAAUGCUUCUUGAAGAUGUUCACAUCCAGUGAAGACAGUAAGAGAGUCUCAGAGGCAACAGCGAUUGAGAGACUGAAGCAUACAAAUGGAAUCAAAGUUGGGUUCGAUCUUUGUGUUCCGGAGGAAUCGACUCGUCGAAGUUCAAGUCGGUUACCUUGCCGGAGAAGAGGCAAUCCUUUCCCAUGAGUGACACGUGGAGCCAGUUAAGAGAUGAUGGAGGCACGUAGAUGGACAACUGCCUUACUCUUGUUCAUCCUUAUCAUAUAAUUUAGGGUUUAAUUGGGCUCAGCAUUUGUAAUGGGUUUGAAUUCCAUUUGUAACAAAAAUUGCCCUUUGGGCUUUUAAUAUAAAGGUUGACAAAAAAAAAAUAUAUAUAUAUAUAUGCUUAUUGUUUUGUUAAAUUUUAAAAACAUUCACA